GUCCACGCCCUAAACGAUGUCAACUAGUUGUUGGAUCUCUUCUGAUUCAGUAACAAAGCUAACGCGUGAAGUUGACCGCCUGGGGAGUACGGCCGCAAGGUUAAAACUCAAAGGAAUUGACGGGGACCCGCACAAGCGGUGGAUGAUGUGGUUUAAUUCGAUGCAACGCGAAAAACCUUACCCACCUUUGACAUGUAUAGAAGUAUUUAGAGAUAGAUGCGUGCUCGAAAGAGAGCUAUAACACAGGUGCUGCAUGGCUGUCGU
Molecule: ribosomal RNA, 264 nt
Filed under: uncultured bacterium
Lineage: Bacteria
Description: partial 16S ribosomal RNA
Rfam family: Bacterial small subunit ribosomal RNA
Source: RNAcentral